RNAcentral lists this long non-coding RNA (240 nucleotides) under Ricinus communis (castor bean). RNAcentral describes it as "long non-coding RNA (RCOM_LNC000390)". Lineage: Eukaryota; Viridiplantae; Streptophyta; Magnoliopsida; Malpighiales; Euphorbiaceae. The record is from RNAcentral.
AUGUCAAAAAAUUUCAAAUAAGAUAAAAGGAGUAAUAAAUUACAGCUAAAUAAAUUCUCUCCUGCGUUAUACCUUCUUUUUGGUCUUGCCUUCAUCUUCAUCAUCCUCAUCCUCAUCUUCAUCCUCGUCCUCUUCAUCAUCUUCAUCAUCAAGCUCAUCAAUAUCAUCAUCGUCGUCGUCAUCAUCGUCAUCUAGGCCAAGGUCAUCCCCUGGGAUAGCCUCACCCGUAAACCACGACAC